This 224-nucleotide ribosomal RNA is filed under the name uncultured bacterium. RNAcentral's name for it is "partial 16S ribosomal RNA". It matches the Rfam family "Bacterial small subunit ribosomal RNA", at positions 15 to 228 of the family's 1533-position model. The record is from RNAcentral.
GAUCAUGGCUCAGGAUGAACGCUGGCGGCGUGCCUAAUACAUGCAAGUANAACGCUGAAGGAAGGAGCUUGCUCUUUCCGGAUGAGUUGCGAACGGGUGAGUAACGCGUAGGUAACCUGCCUGGUAGCGGGGGGAUAACUAUUGGAAACGAUAGCUAAUACCGCAUAACAGUAGAUAUUGCAUGAUAUUUGCUUGAAAGGGGCAAUUGCUCCACUACCAGAUGG